Molecule: ribosomal RNA, 914 nt
Filed under: Tenacibaculum sp.
Lineage: Bacteria; Pseudomonadati; Bacteroidota; Flavobacteriia; Flavobacteriales; Flavobacteriaceae
Description: bacterial SSU rRNA
Rfam family: Bacterial small subunit ribosomal RNA
Source: RNAcentral
AUGCAAGUCGAGGGGCAGCGUAGAUUGCUUGCAAUCUGACGGCGACCGGCGAACGGGUGCGUAACGCGUAUAGAAUCUGCCUUGUACAGGAGGAUAGCCUUUAGAAAUGAAGAUUAAUACUCCAUAAUGCUAAGAGAUGGCAUCAUUUUUUAGUUAAAGAUUUAUCGGUACAAGAUGACUAUGCGUCCUAUUAGCUAGAUGGUAAGGUAACGGCUUACCAUGGCAACGAUAGGUAGGGGGUCUGAGAGGAUUAUCCCCCACACUGGUACUGAGACACGGACCAGACUCCUACGGGAGGCAGCAGUGAGGAAUAUUGGUCAAUGGGCGCAAGCCUGAACCAGCCAUGCCGCGUGCAGGAUGACUGCCCUAUGGGUUGUAAACUGCUUUUAUACAGGAAGAAACAGUCCCUCGUGAGGGGCCUUGACGGUACUGUAAGAAUAAGCACCGGCUAACUCCGUGCCAGCAGCCGCGGUAAUACGGAGGGUGCAAGCGUUAUCCGGAAUCAUUGGGUUUAAAGGGUCCGCAGGCGGUCAAUUAAGUCAGAGGUGAAAUCCUACAGCUUAACUGUAGAACUGCCUUUGAUACUGGUUGACUUGAGUUAUACGGAAGUAGGUAGAAUGUGUAGUGUAGCGGUGAAAUGCAUAGAUAUUACACAGAAUACCGAUUGCGAAGGCAGCCUACUACGUAUAUACUGACGCUCAUGGACGAAAGCGUGGGGAGCGAACAGGAUUAGAUACCCUGGUAGUCCACGCCGUAAACGAUGGACACUAGUUGUUGGGCGUAAGUUCAGUGACUAAGCGAAAGUGGAUAAGUGUCCCACCUGGGGAGUACGAUCGCAAGAUUGAAACUCAAAGGAAUUGACGGGGGCCCGCACAAGCGGUGGAGCAUGGUGGUUUAAUUCGAUGAUACGCGAG